AUUUUGGUUUAAUUUUUGAAAUUUUAUUUUCAUUUUAAUCUUAAAUUUUAUUUAUUUGUUUAAUUAUUUGGGGUAGCUUUGCUACCAAUAAUGUGUGGCCCGAGGGAUGAGUUGACAACAGGGCCCAGCCCUGUGCCCAUCCUCUGGUAUGAGACUCUCCUGGCACAGUAUACCAUCCUGAGGACCAUAGGUCAGGGAAGCUACGCCGAGGUGAAGCUAGCCCAACACCGCCUCACCGGCGCUGAAGUGGCAAUAAAAGUCCUGCUGAAGCGGAAGCAACAGACCUUCCCGAUUUGGCCUGAAGUGGGGAUAAUGAAGAGGAUGAACCAUCCCAAUAUCAUCUCACUGCUCCAGAUUAUUGAAACAGAAGAGAACAUCUUUCUGAUCCUGGAACUGGCUGAGGGACGCGAGCUGUGGGACUGGAUUCAACAAGUCGGCUACCUGCAGGAGAACACAGCCCGGAAGAUAUUCAAACAGAUCGUACAUGCCAUGUGCUAUUGCCAUGACCGAGGCAUAGUGCACAGAGACCUCAAACCAGACAAUAUCAUGGUGGAUGCUACGGGCAAAGUCAAAAUUAUAGACUUUGGCCUGGGUGCUUUAAUCAGGCCCGGGAGGAAGCUUUUUAGGUUUUGCGGUGCCUUACGAUUUGGUGCCCCAGAAUUCUUCCUGCGCCAACCCUAUGAUGGCACCAAAGUGGAUACUUGGAACGUAGGUAUUCUCCUGUAUUUUAUGGUGACCGGGACCCUGCCGUUUGAUGGUUCCACCUUUAAAGAGCUUCAGUGCAAAGUUUUACUGGGACUGUAUGCAGUUCCCUCCCACCUCUCACAAGAGCUGCAGGACAUUAUCCACUGCUUAUUAACUGUAAACCCUACGGAGAGACCAACACUAAAGGACAUUAUGGGGCAUCCUUGGCUUAGGGAAGGAGAUGAGGGUUCAUCAAGCCCAUGUGAUGAGAUGAGCCCUAGCCACCCGGACCCUGCAAUCAUGGCAACCAUGGCAGAGAUGGGAUUCGACCCACGUGACAUCCGGAAAUCUGUACUCCAUAGGUUAUUCAAUGAACCCAUGGCAACCUAUGGCCUACUGCAAUGCCAGGCACGCCAGAAGGGUGACUUCAUUAGGCAAACCAAGGCAAUGCGACCAGGAACAACACUUUUUCCCACGCCCACAGGUCCUGUCGCCUUCCCUGGGUGCCGAAAGAGGACAACUGAUGUGCCAGCCCUUCAGUCCUUUCUCUCAUUAUCCUUGAAAACUGACUCUGCAAAGGACAGCCAGCAGGUAGGGCAAAGGCUCAGAAGAAGUGUCACUGUGCCUAUGAUUGCCCCCCACCACUGCCUGCAGAAGAGGACACCCACUCAUGGUGCUGUUCGGGACCCCACAGGGACACAGCACAGUGGGACUGCAGACACAAUCCAAGGUGCGUGGAGAAGCUGGAAGAGGUGGGCAAGGAGAAUUGGGGCCAGUCUAUUACGGGCCUUCUGCUGCCUGCCAUCCGAGAAGAGAAGAGUCAGGCCCCAAAUGGAGGUAUCCAGGAAAAGACAAGAAGCCGGAGGCUAGCCAGAGGCCGACCAGAGGCCAGCCAGGGGCCAGCCAGGGGCCCUGAGGUCCUGUGAAUUAUGAGGUCAUGGCAUUGGGGGUCAUUCUUGAGUGGAUCAAAUAGCUGCUAAGAGGGACCCACGCAGGAAGCCCAGAAGCCUGGGUGGAGCCAGGAGAAAGAGAAGUCAGGGCAGGAACUCAAGCAAGAACUCGAAGCAGAAACCACAGAGGAAUACUGCUGGCUCGCAUAUCACAGACCCAUGCUUCUGCAACCAAGGCCGACCUGCCCAGGGAACGGUGCCACCCACAGAAGGCUGGGCCCUCCCAUAUCAACGAACAGUCAAGACAGUCUCACACAGACGUGCCCACAGGCCAAUCUGAUCGGGGCCAUCCCUCAAGUGAGCCUCUCUUCUCAGGUGGCUCUAGACUGUGUCAGGCUGACAGUUAAAGCUAACUGGGCCAGUGGCCUUGCUGUCACAGUGUCUUUCCUGCUCUGGUGGGCUGUAUCCUCUAAAUCAGGGGCAAAGCAACCCUCUCCCUUGAGUGGCUUGAGUCGUUUUUGUCACAGAGGUGAGAAGAUUGACUGAGGCACCACCCAGGGCUUUUGUGUUAGUUGCUCUUUCUUGCCAGUUUGCUUUGUGACUUUGUAAAGCCUGUCUCUUCCCUCCACGCCACAUUUCACUUCCACAAUGUUAGUAGCUGCCCUGCCCUUCCUUAUUAUUUCAUUCCAUUUUAAUUUAUUUGAAAAGGCACUCAUCCUCUAUGUUUUCUUGUUUUUCCCUUUUUCUAUUUGUCUUCUGUUUCUCUUCAUGAAGAUAUGAGGUUUUGGAUGGACAGAUCUUGCCCAGUCUAGACUGGGGCACACAGUAGGUAAUCGUUGAACAGAUGAAUCAUGUCAUAUUUUCUCCACCACAGAAGAGAGACCAAAUGUGCUGGUUAACUUUAUGUGUCAGCUGGGGUAUAUCAUGGGAUGCCUAGAAACCUGGUUAAACAUUAUUUCAGGGUGUCCCUGGGAGUCUUUCUGGGAGAAAUUAGAAUGCAAAUUGAUGGAGACUCUAACAAAAAUUGACCUCCUUAAUG
RNA transcript from Peromyscus eremicus (cactus mouse), 2613 nucleotides. It is a transcript of the gene named sperm motility kinase 4A-like, with no coding region annotated. The record is from RefSeq and is a predicted model, not a curated record. NCBI's taxonomy places the organism in Eukaryota, Metazoa, Chordata, Mammalia, Rodentia, Cricetidae. The transcript is spliced from 2 exons.